AGCAGCCGAACAGCCUGGGUGAACGUGUCAGGCAGCAGGUUCUCUCUGGGUUUCAAGAGGCUUCUAGUGACCUGCUAUACUUGAGCAUGAAGGUUACAGAUACUAGCAUGAUGCCGACCAGACUUCCCUGGACAGAGAAUCCCACCAAUGUGUCCUGGACCUCCGCUUCCCCAGAGCCCUUCCCCAUUAGGGAAAGAGAAAGACAGGCUGGGAGUAUGGAUCGACCUGUUAACGCCCAUGUUCAGUGGGGAAGCAAUUACAGAAGCCAAACUUUCCACCUUCUGCAUCUCACAAUGACCUUGGGUCCAUACUCCCAGGGGGUUAAAGAAUAGGAAAGCUAUCAGGGGAGAGGAUGGGAUACAAAGUUCUGGUGGUGGGAAUUGUGCGAAGCUGUACCCCUCUUAUCCUAUGGUUUAAUCAAUGUUUCCUUUUUAUAAAUAAAUAAUUAAAUAAAAAAGAAG
Long non-coding RNA from Erinaceus europaeus (western European hedgehog), 461 nucleotides. RefSeq lists it as uncharacterized. NCBI's taxonomy places the organism in Eukaryota, Metazoa, Chordata, Mammalia, Eulipotyphla, Erinaceidae. The transcript has 2 exons. The record is from RefSeq and is a predicted model, not a curated record.